UACGUAGGGUGCAAGCGUUGUCCGGAAUUAUUGGGCGUAAAGGGCUCGUAGGCGGUCCAUCGCGUCGGGAGUGAAAAUCUGGGGCUUAACCCCAGUCCUGCUUCCGAUACGGGUGGACUAGAGGUAGGCAGGGGAGAACGGAAUUCCUGGUGUAGCGGUGAAAUGCGCAGAUAUCAGGAAGAACACCCGUGGCGAAGGCGGCUCUCUGGGACGGUACUGACGCUGAGACGCGAAAGCGUGGGGAGCGAACAGG
RNAcentral lists this ribosomal RNA (253 nucleotides) under uncultured bacterium. Its description in RNAcentral is "partial 16S ribosomal RNA". It matches the Rfam family "Bacterial small subunit ribosomal RNA", at positions 524 to 776 of the family's 1533-position model. The record is from RNAcentral.